AGGAGCUAUGGCUCAAAGAGUACUAGCCUUGAGCAAAAGAGCGCAGGGACAGCACCCAGGCCUGCAACCACCACCAACAAAAGUGGUCCUGGACCAAUGCACGACUUGUUUGGGAAUGGAAUGAUGGCCUUCCCUGGGGAUGUCAGCUUCUGCUCCUCAUCCUGGAAAUCUCAUUCAACAUCUCACCAUCAGUAUUCACUCCCUGCCCAGAGUCCAGGCUGAGUUUGUCCACAAAGGUCACCCAGUGCAGAUGGACUCUGGGGCCCCCAUGCUUGUAUUCCAAAGGGGCCCGUCACUUCUCGGGUGGGCAGAGUUCAUUCUUGGCUUAAUCAGUUACUGUUAAACCUAGAUUGUGUCACUAGGGCAGUUUCUGGAACAUUCAAACACAGCUUUAGGUUUAUUCCAUACAAACAGCCUUAGAAAUGCAAGCCACAACUGGACGUAUAUCAAAAUGCAUGAGUCACUUUUGCAGGUGUGCACUUGGGUAGGGGUGGGGGUCCAGCAGAGGGAACCCAGUGCGCUCUCUAGGGAACAAGCCUGUGCUUCCCCUCACCCUGACCUAGCUGUUCUCUGUGAACAUAGGAAGUUGUCCCUGGAUGCACAGAAUCAGUUGAUAGCAUGCAGAAUCUUGCCUGUCCCAGAGCAUGACCUUGAGCGAUUGCUAGGAAGACUGCAUUUGCAACUGCCUGAGUCCUUCGUGACAAAGCUCUUGAUCUUGGAAAGCCACACCCCAACUUCCACAACUUCACAACAUGCUAGUGGGAAGGAAAGGAGUGGUCUGAGCUUCCGCCAUGUUCCAUGCAGAGUGUGAUGGUGAAGAAGGUCCUCACACCCCACACCUACCUUCUAGAUCAUUCCUGUCUGCUCUUUCUGCAGAACGCGUUCCCACAGAGUGUUGCUCUUAGAGCUGGCUGUGCAUUGUACGCCUCGUGAUCACCCACAGAUAGGUGGAGGAGAAGAGCUAGGUAUAAUGGCAGAUGGAAAAAGCUCCUUGGAUGAACCCCUGGUCACCAGGGCAGGGGUUGGAAAAGCAGUGGUCCUGUUGAGGGGUUUCUUCUCCCUGUCAUUCCUGGGAGGAAGUAGCCAAGGAGCCCACAUCAGGAAGGAACAAGAAGUAAUAGCUGAUAAGUCCAGCCAUGGCAGGAAGUGAGGUUGGUAGUCAGGAGUGUGCUGUUCUCUGCUUGUAUGUCCCAUAAGAGGACAUUUUCCACAAGGAACCACCAACCCCCUGGGGUCUGCAUGGGGCCCACAUGGGGGGGUGGGGAAUGCUGAACAGAGGACAAGGCCCUUUUGAGGCCUUUGCUCUUUACCUGUCUGUCAAAGGGACGCUGCUCCGUGUGUCCCAGUGUAUGAAUGAGGACACAAGUAAGUGGCUUUUCAGUGAACAGGACGUGUUGCUAAUGGAUCAGAAUUACACCACAACAUGAAGCCUUGUGUCUAUUUCAAUGCUCUUAUUCCCAGUUCCAUCCACAAGCCUGGCCCAUACCAUCCUCCCAGGUCCACAGUGCCCUUGAAAAAUAGUUCCUGAUUCAACCGGACAGCCCCACUCAGCUGAGUGCUGGAGUUAGUAACUUGAUGGGGUUACCUGACAGGGUUGCUGAAGACUUGCUUUUUCCUUUCUUAUGCUUCAAUUAAUCAGGGCGUUUAAUCUUCAUAUUUAAAUCUUAAUGCUGUCUCUCUGAACUGUAAUAUAAUCCAGCAUGGUGGCUGACUGACACUAUGAAUUGAGGAAAAUUAAGUACCUCAGAAUUAUCUCAAACUAAUGAUAUAUUUAUGCAUUGUACGUUAUUUUGAGUUCCUAGACUGUUAAAGAGUUGUUUAAUAGGUUAAUAGUUUUAAUAUGUUAGUCUAAUCUUUUCUACUUGACUGUGUAUUAAAAUACAUCAGUGAUAUGUGACAGCAUUGGAAGAACAGACAGUAUGGAAGGUUUUUAAGGGACAGUGAUGAUGUGAAGAUUGCAAACUUGAGCAGAGUGUAAGCACUGACUCUGGGCUCAUUCACUGCUGCCCUGGCCUGUGGUCCCACUCCAGGUUCUUUCUCUACCUUUCUAGGCUAGCUGCACAGAUGCUACCCAGAAAGGUAGCAUUAUGAGUUCCAUCCACAGGCAAAAAGACUAUCACAACAAGCAGCCACUUGAGCACACUUGAGAUAGGAGGGGUUAAUGGCAGGCACAAAGCCCAAGCAUUCUGGUCUGUGGGGGAGAUGAGGUCCUCCAUUCUCAACUCUACCCGUCCCACCCCUGUGUGACUAUUUGAAGGGACUAGCAAAUACCCAAUCCUGUCGGGGUAUUACCUGUGGGUAAUACAGUCUCUGUAUCUUGGGGCUCCUGAUGUUAGCCAUGAAUGUGUUUGUUUGUUCAACAGGUAUUUUUUGCUAUUAUUUCUUCUUUGGUGAAGAGGAACAAGAACUAAGGUAGAACCCCAGGGCAAGCACAAGCUAAAGUGAGAAAGGAUGGAAGGUAGAGGGGGCUCUCUUAAAGACUGUGGAUGGAGGAUACAUUGGCUGGAGCCUGGGAAGGGACCAUUACAUUGGACAGCACUGUGGUCACAGGGACUUCAGAAGAGCAAUUCUGGUAAUGUAGUGGAGCCAAUAGCCUCAUCAGGCUUCAUGUGGCCACAGAAGGUUGUACCGACACUCGCCAGUGGGUGGCAGUAGUAGGCAGUCGGCACUUGUUGGUGGGUGGGCAGAUGAGUAGAGAGGCAGAGGACUUAAUUAGGUCCUGGUGCACGCCCGCUAUAGUCAAGCCAGAAUGUGCACCUGUUGGCUUCACCGGCCCUGCAUCCAUGCAUUUGUGGAAGUGUUUUCAAGCUCAGCUGGCUAGCCAACUCUCCUUCUAAAGAGGGAACCGUU
This is a long non-coding RNA of Perognathus longimembris pacificus (Pacific pocket mouse), 2850 nucleotides long. RefSeq lists it as uncharacterized. Lineage: Eukaryota; Metazoa; Chordata; Mammalia; Rodentia; Heteromyidae. The record is from RefSeq and is a predicted model, not a curated record. The transcript has 3 exons.